RNAcentral lists this ribosomal RNA (323 nucleotides) under uncultured Prevotella sp. Its description in RNAcentral is "partial 16S ribosomal RNA". The record is from RNAcentral. Lineage: Bacteria; Pseudomonadati; Bacteroidota; Bacteroidia; Bacteroidales; Prevotellaceae.
GGAGUUUUGGACCGUGUCUCAGUUCCAAUGUGGGGGGACCUUCCUCUCAGAACCCCCUACUGAUCGUUGGCCAGGUGGGCCGUUACCCCGCCUGCAACCUAAUCAGACGCAUCCCCAUCCCAUAGCGAUGAAUCUUUGCUUGACGUUAGAUGUCUGCUGUCAAGAACAUAGGGAAUUAAUCCGACUUUCGCCGGGCUAUUCUCUACUAAGGGGAAGGUUGGAUACGCGUUACUCACCCGUGCGCCGGUCGCCAUCAAUCAAAGCAAGCUUCGAUUAUGCUGCCCCUCGACUUGCAUGUGUUAAGCCUGUAGCUAGCGUUCAUC